CGANAACGGGAUUAGCUUGCUAAUCUGUCAGCUAAGUGGCGCACGGNUGAGUAAUAUAUAGGUAACGUGCCUUCAAGAGGGGGAUAACAGAUGGAAACGUCUGCUAAAACCCCAUAUGCCUUUAAUACGAAAGUAUGCAAGGGAAAUAUUUAUAGCUUGAAGAUCGGCCUGUACAGUAUCAGAUAGUUGGUGAGGUAAUAGCUCACCAAGUCAAUGACGCUUAACUGGUUUGAGAGGAUGAUCAGUCACACUGGAACUGAGACACGGUCCAGACUCCUACGGGAGGCAGCAGUGGGGAAUAUUGCACAAUGGGGGAAACCCUGAUGCAGCAACGCCGCGUGGAGGAUGACACAUUUCGGUGCGUAAACUCCUUUUAUAUAAGAAGAUAAUGACGGUAUUAUAUGAAUAAGCACCGGCUAACUCCGUGCCAGCAGCCGCGGUAAUACGGAGGGUGCAAGCGUUACUCGGGAAUCACUGGGCGUAAAGAGCGUGUAGGCGGAUAGAUAAGUCAGAAGUGAAAUCCAAUAGCUUAACUAUUGAACUGCUUUUGAAACUGUCUAUCUAGAGUAUGGGUAGAGGUAGAUGGNAAUUUCUGGUGUAGGGGCUAAAAUCCGUAUAGAUCAGNAAGGAAUACCGAUUGCGAAGGCGAUCUACUGGAACAUAACUGACGCUGAGACGCCGAAAGCGUGNGGAGCAAACCAGGAUUAGAUACCCUGGNUAGUCCACGCCCUAAACGAUGUACACUANUUGUUGGCCAUGCUCGACNUGNCNGUAAUGCCAUUUANCANAUUAAGUGGUAC
This 800-nucleotide ribosomal RNA is filed under the name Arcobacter sp. TC2. RNAcentral describes it as "bacterial SSU rRNA". It matches the Rfam family "Bacterial small subunit ribosomal RNA", at positions 67 to 869 of the family's 1533-position model. The record is from RNAcentral. Lineage: Bacteria; Pseudomonadati; Campylobacterota; Epsilonproteobacteria; Campylobacterales; Arcobacteraceae.